CCCGGGGGGGGUCCCCUACCCGUGCAAGUCGAGCGGCAGCGGAAAGUAGCUUGCUACUUUGCCGGCGAGCGGCGGACGGGUGAGUAAUGUCUGGGAAACUGCCUGAUGGAGGGGGAUAACUACUGGAAACGGUAGCUAAUACCGCAUAACGUCGCAAGACCAAAGAGGGGGACCUUCGGGCCUCUUGCCAUCAGAUGUGCCCAGAUGGGAUUAGCUAGUAGGUGGGGUAACGGCUCACCUAGGCGACGAUCCCUAGCUGGUCUGAGAGGAUGACCAGCCACACUGGAACUGAGACACGGUCCAGACUCCUACGGGAGGCAGCAGUGGGGAAUAUUGCACAAUGGGCGCAAGCCUGAUGCAGCCAUGCCGCGUGUAUGAAGAAGGCCUUCGGGUUGUAAAGUACUUUCAGCGGGGAGGAAGGUGGUGAGGUUAAUAACCUCAGCAAUUGACGUUACCCGCAGAAGAAGCACCGGCUAACUCCGUGCCAGCAGCCGCGGUAAUACGGAGGGUGCAAGCGUUAAUCGGAAUUACUGGGCGUAAAGCGCACGCAGGCGGUCUGUCAAGUCGGAUGUGAAAUCCCCGGGCUCAACCUGGGAACUGCAUUCGAAACUGGCAGGCUAGAGUCUUGUAGAGGGGGGUAGAAUUCCAGGUGUAGCGGUGAAAUGCGUAGAGAUCUGGAGGAAUACCGGUGGCGAAGGCGGCCCCCUGGACAAAGACUGACGCUCAGGUGCGAAAGCGUGGGGAGCAAACAGGAUUAGAUACCCUGGUAGUCCACGCCGUAAACGAUGUCGACUUGGAGGUUGUGCCCUUGAGGCGUGGCUUCCGGAGCUAACGCGUUAAGUCGACCGCCUGGGGAGUACGGCCGCAAGGUUAAAACUCAAAUGAAUUGACGGGGGCCCGCACAAGCGGUGGAGCAUGUGGUUUAUUCGAUGCAACGCGAAAGAACCUUACCUACUCUUGACAUCCAGAGAACUUACCAGAGAUGGAUUGGUGCCUUCGGGAACUCUGAGACAGUGCUGCAUGGCUGUCGUCAGCUCGUGUGUGAAAUUGUGGGUUAAGUCCCCGCAAACGAGCGCCAACUCCUUAUCUCUUUUGUGCCAGCGGGUUCGCGGCCGGGAAUCUCCAA
Molecule: ribosomal RNA, 1126 nt
Filed under: Enterobacter sp.
Lineage: Bacteria; Pseudomonadati; Pseudomonadota; Gammaproteobacteria; Enterobacterales; Enterobacteriaceae
Description: bacterial SSU rRNA
Rfam family: Bacterial small subunit ribosomal RNA
Source: RNAcentral